AAUUAAUGAGCUUGUAAAUAAGCAUUUGUUUUGAAAACUUAAAAAAGAAUUAAAUAUUCUAUUAAUUU
RNAcentral lists this transfer RNA (68 nucleotides) under Sericinus montela. RNAcentral's name for it is "tRNA-Ser". Lineage: Eukaryota; Metazoa; Arthropoda; Insecta; Lepidoptera; Papilionidae. The record is from RNAcentral.